CAGCAGCAGCAGCAUCUCCAACUGUCCAACCAGGGACGCAAAAAAUAACUUUCGAAUCGGAUGAAAUCUAUGUGAAGUCAAAGGAGAACUCGAGCAGAUGUGGAGCAAUAGCAAAUGGAUGGACAGAUCGAUUCGCUUGGUUGGACUCAUUAGGGAUAAUGAUUUUCAAAUCAGCUUAGGAAAAGCCUUGUAAGAAGAGAUCAACAUAACCGACAUCAAAAUCUUAUCAAUCAAAGUCUUAUGAUAUGGAGCUUCGAUCUGGAAAAAUGUAAGAUGAAAGAUAUCUGUGAAUGCAAAAACAUGUAAACAUUCUGCUGAAAACGCAAAAUAGAAUGUUUUCUAUAUAAUGUAAAUCAUAUAUAUAGUUUAUAUAGAGCAGAAUAAUUAGUAGUUCCAUAUGAGCUAAGGAAUGAUUUCAUUAUA
Molecule: long non-coding RNA, 423 nt
Organism: Drosophila mojavensis
Lineage: Eukaryota; Metazoa; Arthropoda; Insecta; Diptera; Drosophilidae
Exons: 2
Source: RefSeq, a predicted model, not a curated record